RNAcentral lists this ribosomal RNA (804 nucleotides) under uncultured bacterium. RNAcentral describes it as "bacterial SSU rRNA". It matches the Rfam family "Bacterial small subunit ribosomal RNA", at positions 66 to 867 of the family's 1533-position model. The record is from RNAcentral.
GGCAGCACGAUGUAGCAAUACAUUGGUGGCGACCGGCGCACGGGUGAGUAACGCGUAUGCAACCUACCUAUCAGAGGGGAAUAACCCGGCGAAAGUCGGACUAAUACCGCAUAAAACAGGGGUUCCACAUGGAAAUAUUUGUUAAAGAAUUAUCGCUGAUAGAUGGGCAUGCGUUCCAUUAGAUAGUUGGUGAGGUAACGGCUCACCAAGUCCACGAUGGAUAGGGGUUCUGAGAGGAAGGUCCCCCACACUGGUACUGAGACACGGACCAGACUCCUACGGGAGGCAGCAGUGAGGAAUAUUGGUCAAUGGGCGAGAGCCUGAACCAGCCAAGUCGCGUGAAGGAUGAAGGAUCUAUGGUUUGUAAACUUCUUUUAUAUGGGAAUAAAGUGAGGAACGUGUUCCUUUUUGUAUGUACCAUAUGAAUAAGCAUCGGCUAACUCCGUGCCAGCAGCCGCGGUAAUACGGAGGAUGCGAGCGUUAUCCGGAUUUAUUGGGUUUAAAGGGUGCGUAGGUGGUUAAUUAAGUCAGCGGUGAAAGUUUGUGGCUCAACCAUAAAAUUGCCGUUGAAACUGGUUGACUUGAGUAUAUUUGAGGUAGGCGGAAUGCGUGGUGUAGCGGUGAAAUGCAUAGAUAUCACGCAGAACUCCGAUUGCGAAGGCAGCUUACUAAACUAUAACUGACACUGAAGCACGAAAGCGUGGGGAUCAAACAGGAUUAGAUACCCUGGUAGUCCACGCAGUAAACGAUGAUUACUAGCUGUUUGCGAUACACAGUAAGCGGCACAGCGAAAGCGUUAAGUAA